Molecule: ribosomal RNA, 492 nt
Filed under: uncultured bacterium
Lineage: Bacteria
Description: partial 16S ribosomal RNA
Rfam family: Bacterial small subunit ribosomal RNA
Source: RNAcentral
AGUGAACGCUGGCGGUAGGCCUAACACAUGCAAGUCGAACGGCAGCACAGUAAGAGCUUGCUCUUACGGGUGGCGAGUGGCGGACGGGUGAGGAAUACAUCGGAAUCUACUUUUUCGUGGGGGAUAACGUAGGGAAACUUACGCUAAUACCGCAUACGACCUACGGGUGAAAGCAGGGGAUCUUCGGACCUUGCGCGAUUGAAUGAGCCGAUGUCGGAUUAGCUAGUUGGCGGGUUAAAGGCCCACCAAGGCGACGAUCCGUAGCUGGUCUGAGAGGAUGAUCAGCCACACUGGAACGGAGACACGGUCCAGACUCCUACGGGAGGCAGAAGUGGGGAAUAUUGGACAAUGGGCGCAAGCCUGAUCCAGCCAGACCGCGUAGGUGAAGAAGGCCUUCGGGUUGUAAAGCCCUUUUGUUGGGAAAGAAAAGCAGCAGGUUAAUACCCCGCUGUUCUGACGGUACCCAAAGAAUAAGCACCGGCUAACUUCGUG